CCCUGGUUGAUCCUGCCAGUAGUCAUAUGCUUGUCUCAAAGAUUAAGCCAUGCAUGUCUCAGUACAAGCCAAAAUAAGGUGAAACCGCGAAAGGCUCAUUAAAUCAGUUAUGGUUCCUUAGAUCGUACCCACAUUUACUUGGAUAACUGUGGUAAUUCUAGAGCUAAUACAUGCAAACAGAGCUCCGACCGGAGACGGAAGGAGUGCUUUUAUUAGAUCAAAACCAAUCGGCGUCAGUAGCGUUUCGGCGUUAUUGUUCGUCGCACUUUUUGGUGACUCUGAAUAACUUUUGGCUGAUCGCACGGUCUUGCACCGGCGACGCAUCUUUCAAAUGUCUGCCUUAUCAACUGUCGAUGGUAGGUUCUGCGCCUACCAUGGUUGUAACGGGUAACGGGGAAUCAGGGUUCGAUUCCGGAGAGGGAGCCUGAGAAACGGCUACCACAUCCAAGGAAGGCAGCAGGCGCGCAAAUUACCCACUCCCGGCACGGGGAGGUAGUGACGAAAAAUAACGAUACGGGACUCAUCCGAGGCCCCGUAAUCGGAAUGAGUACACUUUAAAUCCUAUAACAAGGACCAAUUAGAGGGCCAGUCUGGUGCCAGCCGCCGCGGUAACUCCAGCUCUAAUAGCGUAUAUUAAAGUUGUUGCGGUUAAAAAGCUCGUAGUUGAAUCUGUGUUUCGCGCUGUCGGUUCACCGCCCGCGGUGUUUAACUGGCACGUCUCGCGGAACGUCCUGCCGGUGGAUGCGUGUCCUUUGUCUACUUACCCAUUAUGCGUGUGCAACUCCGGUUGUUACUGUAUAGUGCGGUGAGGUUCAAAUGUGUCACCAUCCGACUCAAUAAUCCUGUCGCGGUGCUCUUAAUUGAGUGUCGAGGCGGGCCGGCACGUUUACUUUGAACAAAUUAGAGUGCUCAAAGCAGGCUAAAAUUUCGCCUGAAUACUGUGUGCAUGGAAUAAUGGAACAGGACCUCGGUUCUAUUUUGUUGGUUUUCGGAACCCCGAGGUAAUGAUUAAUAGGGACAGAUGGGGGCAUUCGUAUUGCGACGUUAGAGGUGAAAUUCUUGGAUCGUCGCAAGACGGACAGAAGCGAAAGCAUUUGCCAAAAAUGUUUUCAUUAAUCAAGAACGAAAGUCAGAUGUUCGAAGGCGAUCAGAUACCGCCCUAGUUCUGACCAUAAACGAUGCCAGCUAGCGAUCCGCCGACGUUCCUCCGAUGACUCGGCGGGCAGCUUCCGGGAAACCAAAGCAUUUGGGUUCCGGGGGAAGUAUGGUUGCAAAGCUGAAACUUAAAGGAAUUGACGGAAGGGCACCACCAGGAGUGGAGCCUGCGGCUUAAUUUGACUCAACACGGGAAACCUCACCAGGCCCGGACACCGGAAGGAUUGACAGAUUGAUAGCUCUUUCUUGAUUCGGUGGGUGGUGGUGCAUGGCCGUUCUUAGUUGGUGGUGUGAAUUGUCUGGUUAAUUUCGAUAACGAACGAGACGCUAACCUGCUAAAUAGGCGUAUUUCUGGUAUCCUGAAGGCUUGUGUCUCUCGUUUUCUGUCGUAUUUUAGCUGUAGUGUAUCAUCGUUUAGGCGGUGUGCAUUAUACUAGAUGCGUUUCAGUGCGGGAGUUCACAGUUUUUACUACCAGCGUACAUAUAAAUCUUCUUAGAGGGACAGGCGGCUUUGAGCCGCACGAGAUUGAGCAAUAACAGGUCUGUGAUGCCCUUAGAUGUUCUGGGCCGCACGCGCGCUACACUGAAGGAAUCAGCGUGUCUUCCCUGGCCGAACGGCCCGGGUAACCCGCUGAACCUCCUUCGUGCUAGGGAUUGGGGCUUGCAAUUGUUCCCCAUGAACGAGGAAUUCCCAGUAAGCGCGAGUCAUAAGCUCGCGUUGAUUAAGUCCCUGCCCUUUGUACACACCGCCCGUCGCUACUACCGAUUGAAUGAUUUAGUGAGGUCCUCGGACUGGUACGCGGGGUCGUUUUGACGUUCUCCGAUGUCGCUGGGAAGAUGACCAAACUU
RNAcentral lists this ribosomal RNA (2004 nucleotides) under Bembidion nr. nahuala. RNAcentral describes it as "SSU rRNA". It matches the Rfam family "Eukaryotic small subunit ribosomal RNA". The record is from RNAcentral. Lineage: Eukaryota; Metazoa; Arthropoda; Insecta; Coleoptera; Carabidae.